RNAcentral lists this ribosomal RNA (642 nucleotides) under uncultured methanogenic archaeon. RNAcentral's name for it is "bacterial SSU rRNA". It matches the Rfam family "Archaeal small subunit ribosomal RNA", at positions 88 to 736 of the family's 1478-position model. The record is from RNAcentral. Lineage: Archaea; Methanobacteriati; Methanobacteriota.
GCUCAGUAACACGUGGAUAAUCUGCCCUAUGGUGGAGGAUAACCCCGGGAAACUGGGGAUAAUACUCCAUAAGUCAGGAGUACUGGAAUGUCUCCUAACUGAAAGUUGCGGCGCCAUAGGAUGAAUCUGCGGCCGAUUAGGUAGUUGUUGGGGUAACGGCCCAACAAGCCCGUAAUCGGUACGGGUUGUGGGAGCAAGAGCCCGGAGAUGGAAUCUGAGACACGAUUCCAGGCCCUACGGGGCGCAGCAGGCGCGAAAACUUUACAAUGCAGGAAACUGUGAUAAGGGAACCCCGAGUGCCCGUAAACGCGGGCUGUCCCGGUGUUUAAAACACAUCGGAAGAAAGGGCCGGGCAAGACCGGUGCCAGCCGCCGCGGUAAUACCGGCGGCUCGAGUGGUGACCACUUUUAUUGGGCUUAAAGCGUUCGUAGCUUGAUUUUUAAGUCUCUUGGGAAAUCUCACGGCUUAACUGUGAGGCGUCUAAGAGAUACUGGGAAUCUAGGGACCGGGAGAGGUAAGAGGUACUUCAGGGGUAGAAGUGAAAUUCUGUAAUCCUUGAGGGACCACCGAUGGCGAAGCAUCUUACCAGAACGGCUUCGACAGUGAGGAACGAAAGCUGGGGGAGCGAACGGGAUUAGAUAC